AGGACCCUGAAGGCAAAAUGAAAAAAUAGCUGGAGUUUAUCUAAGAUUGGUACUGUGGUCUCAUACAACUUCUCCAUAGUGACAGAAAAGAGAUUUAGUAAUCUCUAACACUUGGCCUAAUCCUAGAUGCCUCCCAGCUGGGGGUCGCAUUUGGUCAGGAAGGAACUUCCAUGGUGACAAGAAGACAAGGCCAGAGGUACCACUUUGGAGGUUUCAUAACCUCCAAAGGGGAUAGAUAACAUGACUCAUUUUCCCAGCUCUAUUGUGGUUAUUCAAAUAAGUGACCAUAGUCAAUGUCUGUGAGCAGCUGCUGCAAGGUCAGGAGAACUCACCAAGACCUGAUGCUGUUUCAGUAUCACAGCAUGUCAAAGGAAUGAUUUCUAGCUUCCUGUAGACACCAUUAGCUAAAUUGCAGUAUCUGCUUCUCUUAUCGUCUUUGCCAGGGUCAUUGUUUCUUGCACUGAACCUCGGAGGAAGGAUGAGGAGAGAGGGCCUGUCUCAGAUACUUACCUGUAUAUACCUGUGGGAGGAAGAAGAAAAAGGUGUGUCCACCUAGAAUAAUUUGUUUGCUGGAAGUUCUGUUGUUGGCAGAAAAUGGAAGCUACAAACUAGUGUGGUUAUCAGCAGGGAAUGGGAUCAAAGUUUCAGUCCAACAAGUCCAGGCAACUUUCAGCUUGAAGGCCAAGGUGUUACUACUUAGAAUUUAGGGCACAGAAGGCUGGUGUGUGUCGGCAGUGAUAUUUGGGAGAAUGAGUCUGUUUGGGAGACACUUUAGGUCAUACCAGAACUCAGGGGCCUGGACUUCUCCAAAUGAUCUCUCCAGCAGAGAGGCUGGACAUCUUCUAUAGCACCUCAGGGCUCCUAAGAACGCGGAAGUAGGAGUUGCCAGGUCUUAUUAAGACUGAGUCCUGAAACAGGUGCAGCAUCACUUCCACUGCACUCUCUUGGUUAAAGCAAGUCACAUACCCAACCCAGAGUGGAGUACAUGAGGUCCUGACUUCCAGGAGGUGUGUACACCAGGAGGGGUGUUUCACUGGGGGCCAUCAAUGUAAUGAACUGUCAUAGCAAGUGAGGCAGAGCAUUGAUUCUAGCAAUUCUUUUAGAGACUCUGAGACCCUUGGAGACAGAACUGUAGAGAUCAUCUAGCCCAACUCAUUGAGGAAACGGAGGUCCUGAUGACUACUGUCCACAGGGGCCGUGUGGAUGCUCUGGGUUUUCGCUUAAAGAAGUGAC
RNAcentral lists this long non-coding RNA (1233 nucleotides) under Homo sapiens (human). RNAcentral describes it as "HSALNT0079343". Lineage: Eukaryota; Metazoa; Chordata; Mammalia; Primates; Hominidae. The record is from RNAcentral.